This 396-nucleotide ribosomal RNA is filed under the name uncultured bacterium. Its description in RNAcentral is "partial 16S ribosomal RNA". It matches the Rfam family "Bacterial small subunit ribosomal RNA", at positions 360 to 774 of the family's 1533-position model. The record is from RNAcentral.
AAUAUUGCACAAUGGGGGAAACCCUGAUGCAGCAACGCCGCGUGAGCGAUGAAGGCCUUCGGGUCGUAUAGCUCUGUCCUAAGGGAAGAUAAUGACGGUACCUUAGGAUGAUGCCACGGCUAACUACGUUCCAGCAGCCGCGGUAAUACGUAGGGGGCAAGCGUUAUCCGGAAUCAUUGGGCGUAAAGGGUGCGUAGGCUGCCCUAUAGGUCAGAGGUCAAAGGCUACGGCUCAACCGUAGUAAGCCUUUGAAACUGUAGGGCUUGAGUGCAGGAGAGGAGAGUGGAAUUCCUAGUGUAGCGGUGAAAUGCGUAGAUAUUAGGAGGAAAACCAGUGGUGAAGGCGACUCUCUGGACUGCAACUGACGCUGAGGCACGAAAGCGUGGGGAGCGAACA